Molecule: ribosomal RNA, 301 nt
Filed under: uncultured bacterium
Lineage: Bacteria
Description: partial 16S ribosomal RNA
Rfam family: Bacterial small subunit ribosomal RNA
Source: RNAcentral
CAGUCGCCGCGGUAAUACGGAGGGUGCAAGCGUUAUCCGGAUUUAUUGGGUUUAAAGGGUCCGUAGGCGGAUCUGUAAGUCAGUGGUGAAAUCUCACAGCUUAACUGUGAAACUGCCAUUGAUACUGCAGGUCUUGAGUAAAUUUGAAGUGGCUGGAAUAAGUAGUGUAGCGGUGAAAUGCAUAGAUAUUACUUAGAACACCAAUUGCGAAGGCAGGUCACUAAGAUUUAACUGACGCUGAUGGACGAAAGCGUGGGGAGCGAACAGGAUUAGAUACCCCGGUAGUCCCUGUCUCUUAUAU